This 468-nucleotide ribosomal RNA is filed under the name uncultured bacterium. RNAcentral describes it as "partial 16S ribosomal RNA". It matches the Rfam family "Bacterial small subunit ribosomal RNA", at positions 28 to 507 of the family's 1533-position model. The record is from RNAcentral.
GACGAACGCUGGCGGCGUGCUUAACACAUGCAAGUCGAACGGAAAGGCCCUGCUUUUGUGGGGUGCUCGAGUGGCGAACGGGUGAGUAACACGUGAGUAACCUGCCCUUUACUUUGGGAUAACUUCAGGAAACUGGGGCUAAUACCGGAUCGGAGCUCCUGCUGCAUGGUGGGGGUUGGAAAGUUUCGGCGGGUGGGGAUGGACUCGCGGCUUAUCAGCUUGUUGGUGGGGUAGUGGCUUACCAAGGCUUGGACGGGUAGCCGACCUGUGAGGGUGACCGGCGACAUUGGGACUGAGAUACGGCGCAGACUGCUACGGGGGGCAGCAGUGGGGAAUAUUGCACAAUGGGCGGAAGCCUAAUGCAGCAGCGCCGCGUGCGGGAUGACGGCCUUCGGGUUGUAAACCGCUUUCGCCUGUGACGAAGCGUGAGUGACGGUAAUGGGUAAAGAAGCACCGGCUAACUACGUG